Molecule: ribosomal RNA, 253 nt
Filed under: uncultured bacterium
Lineage: Bacteria
Description: partial 16S ribosomal RNA
Rfam family: Bacterial small subunit ribosomal RNA
Source: RNAcentral
UACAGAGGGUGCGAGCGUUAAUCGGAAUGAUUGGGCGUAAAGCGUGCGUAGGCGGCUUUGCAAGUCGGGUGUGAAAUCCCCAGGCUUAACCUGGGAACUGCAUUCGAGACUGCAUUGCUAGAGUAUGGGAGAGGGAAGUGGAAUUUCCGGUGUAGCGGUGAAAUGCGUAGAUAUCGGAAGGAACAUCAGUGGCGAAAGCGACUUCCUGGACCAAUACUGACGCUCAUGUGCGAAAGCGUGGGGAGCAAACAGG